CGGACGGGUGAGUAACGCGUGGGUAACCUGCCUUGUACUGGGGGACAACAGUUGGAAACGACUGCUAAUACCGCAUAAGCGCACAGCUUCGCAUGAAGCAGUGCGAAAAACUCCGGUGGUACAAGAUGGACCCGCGUCUGAUUAGCUGGUUGGUGAGGUAACGGCCCACCAAGGCGACGAUCAGUAGCCGACCUGAGAGGGUGACCGGCCACAUUGGGACUGAGACACGGCCCAA
RNAcentral lists this ribosomal RNA (235 nucleotides) under uncultured bacterium. RNAcentral describes it as "partial 16S ribosomal RNA". It matches the Rfam family "Bacterial small subunit ribosomal RNA", at positions 99 to 334 of the family's 1533-position model. The record is from RNAcentral.